This is a non-coding RNA of Rattus norvegicus (Norway rat), 3542 nucleotides long. NCBI's taxonomy places the organism in Eukaryota, Metazoa, Chordata, Mammalia, Rodentia, Muridae. The record is from RefSeq and is a predicted model, not a curated record.
GCAAAGAACUCUAUAAGAAAAAAUAAACCGGAACCGGAAGUGGAAUCAGCACUCCCUCCUUACCGUCACCCAGUACUCUGCCAUCUCCGUGACUCUGAAAGCCAGUGUUGUUUCUAACAGGACUCCCACGAGCAAACUGGAGUGGUGUUGAGAAUGAGAGUAAAGGGAUAUAAAAGGGUCUCCCCCAUCUCAAAGGCGGUGUGGAGGGGGCGGGAGAGAUGGCUCAGUAGUUAAGGGCCCUGACUGCUCUACCACAGGUCCCAAGUUCAAUUCCCGAAACUACAUGGUGACUCACAACCAUCUGUAAUGGGAUCCAAUGCCCUCUCCUGGUGUGUCUGAAGACAGCAACAGUGUGCUCACAAACUUAAAUACAUCUUUAGGAAAAAAAAAGUGGUAUGGAGUAGUCUGUGUGCCUGCCUGCCUGCCUAGUUCUUUUGGAUUCAAGACUUAGAGAGCUGCAUUACUCAAGGCGAGAGCUAUGCAUGUUGCUUUGCUUUCCGUGCUGAAAAACUAAAUGGCCUGACGCUCUUCUGUGUUCCCCUGGAUGUUUAAGAAAAAAACAUUGCAACAUCUGACCCAUGCGCAGUUUGGCAUUAAACGAGUCUUCAGCAGUUCAGACACUGAGCGAGCACAGAACUCACUUGUCCCACACCAAUAUGGACACCAGAAGCUGCCAAAGAGCCGCAGGGGCGCUCCCUUCUUAGUCAAGUACUGAGAAGAGAUUUCAAGAGGCCAGAAGAGCCAAAUGUCCGUGCUGAUGUGCUGUUCUGCCCACAUCGGAACCUACACGGCCCACAUCUGAACUUGCACGGGGCCUACCUCGCCUUGGGCUCCCACUCUGAGUUUGGCUCUGUUUGGCCUGAAGCCUUUGAUCUGUGGUCCAGAGAGAAAAAUGGCUGGGCUGUUCUACAAAGAGUGGCGCAGAAGUUUGGCAGGUCUAUCCUGAGGGUCUCAAGAUGUUGUCUGGUCCUCUUUUGCUAUAUCUUUGACUUCUCAAACUAGACAGAGUCUUAGAGUAGGAGAACCAUUCUUCAUUGAAUGGGGGAGUUCUUCGGAUAGACACUUGCCUCUUUGACUUAGUUCUGUAAACCUACUUUGGUUCUGUUACCUCCUUCACCCUCAACUUCCUCUCUCAUUGGAUUCUGCACCCUUUGGGCACAUUGCCUUUUUUUUUUUUUUUCUGACUUGGAAAAAGAAAACUAUAGAAGGAUCAGAGCCUGGGCUCCGAGCCCCAUCUGUCUCCCUCCAGGGUCCCUCCACACUGGAGCAAACGAUUUUCUUAGGCGGGUGGGGCUCUUCCCCGCCCCGUUCAUUGUAUUCCACGGUUUCCUGUACACUGCUUGUAACCCUUUACCAAUCUGCCAGGCGCCUUUUAACACAAAAGAAAGGCGAGGGGGCAGGGACUGCUGAGGAAAAACAUCCCUAUAAAUAGCCCUCUUCAACAAAAUUGUUUUCCUCAUACACAGUUGUUGUUAGGCCUUGACGCCCCAUAAUCUUCAUCCGCACUCUCCACCCCUUCCACUCCAGCCUUCCUCUGGCUCGAAUGUGAUUGUCCUCCUGCUGAGAGAUGCAGGUGUAACUGGGGCUGGAUGGAAGCUGUUCCUCUCCAGCCCAGGUUGCUGUUCCCAGGGGGCCCUGGGUCCUAGAUCAGACACUCUGACUUUUUGCCCCAAGACCUUGAUUGGGCAAAUUUCUCUAACCUUGCAGAGCCGAGGUGUUCUCAUUCUUAGUAAGAGUGGUGGGAAUACCUCUCGUAGAGUUGGUGUGAGGAUUACAAAGGUUUUGGAAAGGCCCGUCCAUUAGUCUAUGCCUACACAGGUCCUACUACGUACACAAAGGAGUGCUUUUUAAAUUUUGUUUUUGUUUUUUGUUCUUGUUUGUUUGUUCGUUUGUUUCCUUUACAUGGUGAGUCUUCUGUUUCUUGCAGUUCUUCCUGUUCUGGUGUGUGUCUUCUCCCCCCUGCCCCGUUCCUUAUAAGCCAGUUUGUAAGCUUUAAGCCUAUUAAUUUAUAUUCAUUUAUUUAUACCUUUCUCAGUUCCACUAUGAGUUUAGAUAAUUCACUUUAUAUUUAAGUGGCUAGAACCUAGUGGAAUUUUCAGAAAGGAUAAGACAGUCCCUUCACGGAGCAGUUUCCUUACAUGAAGGAGUCUGCCUUUCCUAGGUGCUUUGGGGGUGGCUUUAGUCGUGGCUCACUCGCUUCUAAGGUCUCAUAGAUCCCAGGCUCUGCUUUUAUUCUUACACCAGGAAAACAGCAUAUGGAAGUUAAUAUAAAAAUAGGAGGUAAAACAGUCACAGACUCAUUACCUUCUCUGUAUAACUGCCCCCAAUCUGUGAACAUUUUCGAUUGGGCUGAUAUUCCCGUUGUUUCUCAUUAAGCCUCUUGGGUAUAUACACAUACACAUACACAUACACAUACACAUAUACAUACAAACACACACACACAUUCACAAAGUUGUAGAGUUUGGGGGCAGUGACCCCAGUUAACCAAAAUCAUACUUGGAAAAAAAUUUUAAUAUUCUGAGUUUUCAACGGUUAGUACACAAGUAUUGAACUCUUCAUACUGAUCCUAAACGAAGUUAGUCAAAUAUACAUAGUCUGAUGAGCUUGUGACUUUUCCAAAGAUGUGCGAGUGCGUUUACACACACACACACACACACACACACACACACACACACACACACACGUAUGAGUGUUUACGUAUCUGUGUUCGCCUCUGUGUUUCCAUGUUUUACAGGUUCAUUUGAUUUUAUAGGAGUCCUUUCUAAUUCCUCCGGACCUACUGGUUUCAAAUGUCUACAGAUUUGGUACCUAAUAUUACACACUAGGCAGAGCGUCUGUGAUUUAGAAUCUUUCUAUAGAUAUUUUAAAAUCCUUUCUGAGAUAAGAUUGCCCCCUAUAGUCUUAAGUACCCAUAUUCUGUCCCAUUUUCAAACCACUACUUUCUCCCUUAGAAAAUACAGCCUGUGUUAGGUUGAAUUAUAUUCUCUCAAAAUUGCUAAACUCCUAAGCCCCAGUAACUCAGAAUGUGUCUUUAUUGGGAAUAGAAUGGUCAUGGUGCAGUUAGUUAAGACUCAGUUAACUGGAACAGGUAUGACCCAGGUGUGCUUAUAGAAGCAGGUGGUUUGUAUUCAGGCCCUGACACAGGAAAGAUGCCAAGUAGGAGUGGCACUAUUUGAAAGGAUUAGAAGGAUUAAGAGGUGUGGCCUUGUUAGAGGAAGAGGUUUCAAAAGUCCACACCAGGCCCAGUCUGUCUCUCUGUCUCUGUCUCUGUCUCUGUCUCUGUCUCUCUCUCUCUCUCCCUUCCUCCCUCCCUCCCUCUCCCCCUCCCAUUCCUCUCUCUCUCCUCUCUCUCUCUCUCUCUCUCUCUCUCUCUCUGUCUCUCUGUCUGUCUCUGUCUCUGCAGAUCAGGAUAUUGCUCUCAACGACUUCUCUAGGACUAUGCCUGCCAUCCCUGCUGCCAUGCUCCCUGCCAUGAUGGUAACUGACUAAGCUUCUGAGGCUGUAAGCAAGCCCCCAAAUAAAAAUGCUUUCUUUCAUAAGAA